RNAcentral lists this unclassified non-coding RNA (200 nucleotides) under Bombus terrestris (buff-tailed bumblebee). RNAcentral describes it as "misc RNA ENSBTSG00005026692.1". The record is from RNAcentral. Lineage: Eukaryota; Metazoa; Arthropoda; Insecta; Hymenoptera; Apidae.
GUUAUUGUUUGAUCGCGAGAUAAGAGCGCUAGAGUGACGCCGCGAAACCCAGAAGGACGACACGAUGAUUGACGACGAAUCUAAAAGCUUUUCAUGGAGAUUUGAUUUCUUUCAACCUUUUUCCAUGAAAUUUGACGAUUCCUGUUUUAUCGAUAACUUUCCAUGGAUCAUAACAAUAUCGACGACAACGCAUCUAAUCG